Non-coding RNA from Vicugna pacos (alpaca), 355 nucleotides. NCBI's taxonomy places the organism in Eukaryota, Metazoa, Chordata, Mammalia, Artiodactyla, Camelidae. The record is from RefSeq and is a predicted model, not a curated record.
CUUCUUGGGCUGAUCCCUUGAUCACUGUGUAGUGUCCUUCUUUGUCUCCUGUAACAGUCUCUAUUAUAAAGCCUGUUUCGUCUGACUGUUGCUACCCUGGCCUUCUGAUUUCCAUUCUCAUGGAAUACCUUUUUGCAACCCGCCUCGUUCAGUCUGCAUGUCUCUAGAUUGGAAGUGAGUCUCCUAUGGGUCUUUUUUUUUUUCAGUGUCCCUUCAGCCAAUGUGUUUUCUGGUUGGAGCAUUUAGUCGGUUCACACUUAAGGUAAUUGCUGGUAUGUGUUAGUGCCGUUUUGUCGACUGUUCUAGAUUUGCAUUUGUGGGUUUUCGUUCUCUGCUCCUUUCUACUUCAUUCUCU